Molecule: transfer RNA, 84 nt
Filed under: Flavobacterium sp.
Lineage: Bacteria; Pseudomonadati; Bacteroidota; Flavobacteriia; Flavobacteriales; Flavobacteriaceae
Also listed under: 1 other name
Description: tRNA-Leu
Rfam family: tRNA
About the family: Transfer RNA (tRNA) molecules are approximately 80 nucleotides in length. Their secondary structure includes four short double-helical elements and three loops (D, anti-codon, and T loops).
Source: RNAcentral
GGCGACGUGGAGAAACUGGUAGACUUGCCAUCUUGAGGGGGUGGUGCUCGUAAGGGCGUGUGGGUUCGAAUCCCAUCGUCGUCA